CCUACGGGAGGCAGCAGUGGGGAAUCUUGCACAAUGGGGGAAAGCCUGAUGCAGCGACGCCGCGUGAGUGAAGAAGUAUUUCGGUAUGUAAAGCUCUAUUAGCAGGGAAGAAAAUGACGGUAACUGAUUAAGAAGCCCCGGCUAACUACGUGCCAGCAGCCGCGGUAAUACGUAGGGGGAAAGCGUUAGCCGGAUUUAAUGGGUGUAAAGGGAGCGUAGAUGGUUGUACAAGUCUGGAGUGAAAGGCCGGGGCUUAACCCCGGAGCUGCUUUGGAAACUGGGCAGCUAGAGUGCAGGAGAGGUAAGUGGAAUUCCUAGUGUAGCGGUGAAAUGCGGAGAUAUUAGGAGGAACACCAGUGGCGAAGGCGGCUUACUGGACUGCAACUGACGUUGAGGCGCGAAAGCGUGGGGAGCAAACAGGAUUAGAUACCCGUGUAGUC
This 440-nucleotide ribosomal RNA is filed under the name uncultured bacterium. Its description in RNAcentral is "partial 16S ribosomal RNA". It matches the Rfam family "Bacterial small subunit ribosomal RNA", at positions 338 to 795 of the family's 1533-position model. The record is from RNAcentral.